RNAcentral lists this ribosomal RNA (377 nucleotides) under uncultured bacterium. Its description in RNAcentral is "bacterial SSU rRNA". It matches the Rfam family "Bacterial small subunit ribosomal RNA", at positions 523 to 898 of the family's 1533-position model. The record is from RNAcentral.
AUACGAAGGUGGCGAGCGUUAUUCGAAAUCACUGGGCUUAAAGAGCAUGUAGGCGGCCUAUCAAGCGUUGUGUGAAAUCCCUCGGCUCAACCGAGGAACUGCAUGGCGAACUGGUAGGCUUGAGGCAAGUAGGGGCGAGUGGAACUCUUGGUGGAGCGGUGGAAUGCGUAGAUAUCAAGAGGAACGUCGGAGGCGAAGGCGACUCGCUGGGCUUGUCCUGACGCUGAGAUGCGAAAGCUAGGGUAGCGAACGGGAUUAGAUACCCCGGUAGUCCUAGCCCUAAACGAUGUCAACUAGACCGGAGUACUUCUGACAGUUUUCCGGUCGGAGCAAAAGUGUUAAGUUGACCGCCUGGGGAGUACGGUCGCAAGGCUAAA